CGAAAGAUUGAUCCAGUUACUUAUUAGGAUGAUAUAUAAAUAAUUAUAAAAUUUUAUUAUAAAGAUUAUAAUAAUAAUAUAUAUAAAUUGAUUAAAAAUAAAAUCCAUAAAUAAUUAAAAUAAUGAUAUUAAUUACUAUAUAUAAUAUAUAUAGAUAUAUAAAGAUAUAAUUAAUAUAAUAAUAUGUAAAAAUAAUAUUAUAUUUAUAUGUUUUAUUGUAUAUUUUAAUAGUCCUGACAAAUAUUUGUGCCAGCAGUCGCGGUAACACAAAGAGGGCGAGCGUUAAUCACAAUGGUUUAAAGGAUCCGUAGGAUGAAUUAUUUAAUAAUUUAGAGUUAAUAGAUUUAAUUAAAGAAUUAUAAUAGUAAAGAUGAAAUAAUAAUAAUAAUUAUAAGACUAAUAUAUGUGAAAAUAUUAAUUAACUAUUAACUGACAUUGAGGGAUUAAAACUAGAGUAGCGAAACGGAUUCGAUACCCGUGUAGUUCUAGUAGUAAACUAUGAAUACAAUUAUAAAUCUAAAAAUUAGAUUAAUAAUAAAUGAAAAUGUAAGUAUUCCACCUGAAGAGUACGUUAGCAAUAAUGAAACUCAAAACAAUAGACGGUUACAGACUUAAGCAGUGGAGCAU
This 627-nucleotide ribosomal RNA is filed under the name Saccharomyces x bayanus. RNAcentral's name for it is "Saccharomyces bayanus partial small subunit ribosomal RNA". The stretch from base 194 to 627 matches the Rfam family "Microsporidia small subunit ribosomal RNA", at positions 1 to 818 of the family's 1311-position model. Lineage: Eukaryota; Fungi; Ascomycota; Saccharomycetes; Saccharomycetales; Saccharomycetaceae. RNAcentral also lists the same sequence under 1 other name. The record is from RNAcentral.